UUCUAGCAUUAGAUCGUUUUUCCUGCCUGUCACUUCUCUCUGAUGUUUGCAGCUUUCUAAGAUCUGCAGUUUGAAAAGGAUUUAUCUGCUGGUGUGGAUUGGAUUCCUGGUUACCGGAUGGGGAGUCUCUCCAGCAUGGAUGGGGUACAGAGGGUUUACAUCUAACCUGUGUUUCCAGAUGCCGGUCUCCAACUCACUGCCUCUCUCUUUUGCAGUGCUCCUCUGUAAAGGAAACAGUUAACCACAGCUCUGAGGACGCACAAACCAAAUUCAAUUGUGCUCAAGGGAUCACAUUUAAUUUCAACUUGCAAUAUAAUCAAACAAAACCCGGGAUAAUCCCUUAUUGCUUGCAUGUAACUGUUAGCGCUCCACUUGUUAUCCGGCCCAUAAUUAAUCCUCCAGAGCACUACUGCUUGCUAGCUGACUGCACCUGGGAAGCCAAUGGAAAGAGGAACAUCUGGAUAGCCACCAAUCAGCAGCAAGCUCUCAGUAGUGCAUUGCUGCUACGGAGUCUACUGUUUUAUGCUUUUCAACAAAGAAUUCCAAGAUAACAAAGUAAAUGGAAUAAUAGAAGUAAAUGGAAAAGUCUCUUACACCUCUAUCAGAUGCAUAAUAAGACUUUAAAGGGACAUUCCAGCCAAAAUUUGAAUCCACGUUUUACUAGAAGCAUUUUUGCUAAUAAAUGUAUAUUGCAUAUAUGUUCCUAUUCAAAGAUGUAAUUCAUCUAUGUGCAUUUAAAUUUUGACCGUAAUGUCCCUUUAAUUUUCACUUAAUUGUUCCUUUAAUACAUUCAGUGAUUUUCUGCCCUGGUUGACAGCUUGGUUAUAUGACAAUAACAGCAGUCAAGAGGUUAAUCUGUUCUCUUGUUUUUACAUUUUUAUAUUCUCUGUCCCUAAGAAUCUCCUACUACUAAAUAAAUGGGGCAUAUCUUGAAA
Bombina bombina (fire-bellied toad) is the source of this 935-nucleotide long non-coding RNA. RefSeq lists it as uncharacterized. The record is from RefSeq and is a predicted model, not a curated record. The transcript is spliced from 3 exons. Lineage: Eukaryota; Metazoa; Chordata; Amphibia; Anura; Bombinatoridae.